GGAAUCAGGUUUGGGCAGGACCAUGUCAGGUUACAGAGUAGCUUGCUUCUGUGAACCGUGGAACCAACAAGAUCUUCGAUUACUGCUCUUUGGGAUGAUAUUGAGAUACCUGCAAAUAGCAUCGUUGAAGCCAGAGAUCUAUGGGAGCACAAGACAUUGAAUCAAAAGUUUGUAGGAAACUUGACGGCGACAGUGGAUUCUCAUGCGUGUAAGUUGUAUGUUCUCAAACCUGUUGCCUGAAAUAUAUAUUAUGUAGAGAGAGAGGAAGAGCUACGUUGUAGUAUUUCUCCAAUUAUUCUGUAAAAACAAUAAGGGUUCGUCUCAAAUUGGGUCUCCAGUUAUUCUCCAAUAAAGUAUUCUACAUUUGCCCAAAA
Eutrema salsugineum is the source of this 374-nucleotide long non-coding RNA. RefSeq lists it as uncharacterized. The record is from RefSeq and is a predicted model, not a curated record. The transcript has 2 exons. NCBI's taxonomy places the organism in Eukaryota, Viridiplantae, Streptophyta, Magnoliopsida, Brassicales, Brassicaceae.